UGCUGUUCUUGAGUAUAGUUGAAGUGGGCGGAAUGUGUCAUGUAGCGGUGAAAUGCUUAGAUAUGACACAGAACACCGAUAGCGAAGGCAGCUCACUAAGCUGUAACUGACGCUCAUGCACGAAAGCGUGGGGAUCAAACAGGAUUAGAUACCCUGGUAGUCCACGCUGUAAACGAUGAUCACUCGUUGUUGGCGAUAUACUGUCAGCGACUGAGCGAAAGCAUUAAGUGAUCCACCUGGGGAGUACGGCGGCAACGUUGAAACUCAAAGGAAUUGACGGGGGCCCGCACAAGCGGAGGAGCAUGUGGUUUAAUUCGAUGAUACGCGAGGAACCUUACCUGGGCUUAAAUGUAGGACGACGUUUCGUGAAAGCGGAAUUUCCUUAGGGACGGCCUACAAGGUGCUGCAUGGUUGUCGUCAGCUCGUGCCGUGAGGUGUCGGGUUAAGUCCCAUAACGAGCGCAACCCUUAUUCUUAGUUGCCAUCAGGUAAUGCUGGGAACUCUAAGAAAACUGCCUACGCAAGUAGUGAGGAAGGUGGGGAUGACGUCAAAUCAGCACGGCCCUUAUGUCCAGGGCGACACACGUGCUACAAUGGUCGGUACAGAGGGAUGCUACCUGGUGACAGGAUGCUAAUCUCAAAAGCCGAUCUCAGUUCGGAUCGAAGUCUGCAACUCGACUUCGUGAAGUUGGAUUCGCUAGUAAUCGCGCAUCAGCCAUGGCGCGGUGAAUACGUUCCCGGGCCUUGUACACACCGCCCGU
Molecule: ribosomal RNA, 760 nt
Filed under: uncultured bacterium
Lineage: Bacteria
Description: bacterial SSU rRNA
Rfam family: Bacterial small subunit ribosomal RNA
Source: RNAcentral